AGUGAACGCUGGCGGCAGGCCUAACACAUGCAAGUCGAGCGGCAGCGCGGGGGCAACCCUGGCGGCGAGCGGCGGACGGGUGAGGAAUUUGUCGGAAUCUGCCUUUUUGUGGGGGAUAACGUAGGGAAACUUACGCUAAUACCGCAUACGUCCUACGGGAGAAAGUGGGGGACCGCAAGGCCUCACGCAGAAAGAUGAGCCGACGACCGAUUAGCUAGUUGGUGGGGUAAAGGCCCACCAAGGCGACGAUCGGUAGCUGGUCUGAGAGGAUGAUCAGCCACACUGGGACUGAGACACGGCCCAGACUCCUACGGGAGGCAGCAGUGGGGAAUAUUGGACAAUGGGCGCAAGCCUGAUCCAGCCAUGCCGCGUGUGUGAAGAAGGCCUUCGGGUUGUAAAGCACUUUUGUCCGGAAAGAAAUCCCUGGAGCUAAUACCUUCGGGGGAUGACGGUACCGGAAGAAUAAGCACCGGCUAACUUCGUG
Molecule: ribosomal RNA, 484 nt
Filed under: uncultured bacterium
Lineage: Bacteria
Description: partial 16S ribosomal RNA
Rfam family: Bacterial small subunit ribosomal RNA
Source: RNAcentral